Molecule: long non-coding RNA, 233 nt
Filed under: Ananas comosus (pineapple)
Lineage: Eukaryota; Viridiplantae; Streptophyta; Magnoliopsida; Poales; Bromeliaceae
Description: long non-coding RNA (ACOM_LNC041908)
Source: RNAcentral
GGAGGGAGUAUCCGCAUCUCUUUGAGUCGACGAGUCAAGGUAUGCGUAAUUUCUCGGACGAAAUUAUUUUAAGGGGUGGAGAAUGUAAUAUACCGAAAAUUCGAAAAAUAAAUAUCGAACUUUAGUCAAAUUGACCAAAGUGCGAGGUUGGAGCACUUCGAAAAGUUCGAAGGUGUUAAAAUGAUCAAAAGUGAGUUACGGGAGGUUUUCGAGAGCUAAAAUUGUGAAAUCUG